RNAcentral lists this ribosomal RNA (1404 nucleotides) under Euglenaformis proxima. RNAcentral describes it as "bacterial SSU rRNA". It matches the Rfam family "Bacterial small subunit ribosomal RNA". Lineage: Eukaryota; Euglenozoa; Euglenophyceae; Euglenales; Euglenaceae. The record is from RNAcentral.
CGGCGUGCUUAACACAUGCAAGCCGAACGUUCUAACAUAUGUUGGAAAGUGGCGGACGGGUGAGUAAUAUGUAAGAAUUGACAUUUAGGUUGGGGAUAACAAUCGGAAACGUUUGCUAAUACCCAAUACGGCUACUAAGUUAAAGUUUUUCGCCUAGAUACAAGCUUGCAUCUGAUUAGUUUGUUGGUGGGGUAAUGGCUUACCAAGACUAUGAUCAGUAACUGGUCUUAGUGGAUGAUCAGUCACACGAGAAUUGAGAUACGGAAUCGACUCCUACGGGAGGCAGCAGUGGGGAAUUUUCCGCAAUGGGUGAAAGCUUGACGGAGCAACGCCGCGUGGAGGAUGAAGGUUUUAGGAUUGUAAACUCCUUUUCUCAAAGAAAAAUCGAUGAUAGUAUUUGAGGUAAAAAGCACCGGCUAACUUUGUGCCAGCAGCCGCGGUAAUACAAGGGGUGCAAGCGUUAUCCGGAAUUAUUGGGCGUAAAGAGUUUGUAGGUGGUUUAAAAAGUUUAAUGUUAAAAUUUAGGGCUUAACCUUGAAAAAGCGUUAAAAACUUUUAAACUUGAGUAUGAUAGGGGUAAAGGGAAUUUUCAGUGUAGCGAUGAAAUGCUUUGAUAUUGAAAAGAACACCAGCGGCGAAAGCGCUUUACUAGGUCAAUAACUGACGCUGAGAAACGAAAGCUAGGGUAGCGAAAAGGAUUAGAUACCCUUGUAGUCUUAGCCGUAAACUAUGGGUACUAAGUUAUGCUUUAUAGCAUUUCUAAAGUUAACACGUUAAGUACCCCGCCUGGGGAGUAUGCUCGCACGAGUGAAACUCAAAGGAAUUGACGGGGGCCCGCACAAGCGGUGGAGCAUGCGGUUUAAUUCGAUGAUACACGAAGAACCUUACCAGGAUGAGAUAUGUUAGGAAAAUUUUUGAAAGAAAGUUGUGCCUUCGGGAACCUAAACACAGCUGGUGCAUGGCUGUCGUCAGCUCGUGUCGUGAGAUGUUGGGUUAAGUCCCGCAACGAGCGUAACCCUUAUUUUUAGUUAUUAAGUAAAAUUCUAAAAAGCCUGCUAAUUAUAAAUUAGAGGAAGGUGAGGAUGACGUCAAGUCCUGCAUGCCCGUUCGGUCCUGGGCUACACGCGUGCUACAAUGGGUAAGACAAUAAGUUGCGAAGUUGUGAAACUCAGCUAAUCUUUAAACUUAUCCUCAGUUCGGAUGGGAGACUGCAACUCGUCUCCCUGAAGUUGGAAUCGCUAGUAAUCGCCGGUCAGCUAUACGGUGGUGAAUCCGUUCCCGGGCCUUGUACACACCGCCCGUCACACUAAGAAAGUUGGCCUUGCUUGAAUAUAUUAUUCUAACCUUAUUGGAGGGAGAUAUCUAAGGCCGGGUUUAUAAUUUUAGUGAAGUCGUAACAAGGUA